UUUCACUGUGGUCAGUCUUAGAGAUUUCUUUGCAGCAUUGAUGAUUUGGGAUAAAAUGGAGAGUAUACUUGGCAGAUCAGGAUGGGAGACCUUACAAUGGUUUUGAUAUCACUGGCAUCCAUGGCCUGGGAAAACAUGGGUUUCACUUUACAAGACUGAGGAAGAGAGAAUUUUAAAGAAAGAAAGCCUAUGUUUGGAAGAUCAAGAUGGGAAUGUAGGAAGACCUGGUUAAAACCUUUGCAGGAAUGGGAACUUGUACCAAAUGAGGCAGAAGACUCGAGGCUCUAGAGAAAUCUUGUGAUGAAAUUGAAACUUGUGAUAGAUAAAGCUGCAGAAUUGUGCUACUACUUUGAUACAUAUACAAAGUCUUUAAAACAGCUUUAGCGUCCAAGAAAUAAGAAAAGGAAUGUAUUUUGUUGUUUGUUCCACCUUUCGUGCCCCUCAGGUAACCAGGGUCUUUCUACAACUUUCAGUUUGCCAGAAUUAACCAGUGGAAUUAACCAUCCAGCCCUCCUGGUUACUCAAGCUCUCAACUUUCCCAUCCAUCCACUCUCCUCUGAAAUAUGAUCCACAGCAGGCACAUUAGUUAACUUUCAGUUUGGAAAUGAUCUAUAGACUUAUUCCAUUAUAAUGAGAAUGAUGAGUAAGAUUGUUCUAAACUGGUACUGAAUUUAAAGGGAAGAAAAUAAAUUAUUCGAAGAAAGGAAAACUUAAUGGUAUUAUAUUCUGAAAUGGGGAGUGAGGAGGUUGAGAGAUAUUUAUAGUGUUGCAUGGACCUUACAUAUGGCACUUAAAUCACAAGUAAGCCUUGCUCAUUCUCCAAUGUGUGAGAAUGAUUCUUAAUUCUUUGUUUAUUUAAGUACUGCACAUUAAGCAGGACUAUUUCCCAUUAGCCAGACCAUGCAUUAUGGGUGGUGAAGCUAUAGCCAUACCACCCUAAAGAACAAAAUUCAAGAAUAAAGUUUUCAUGCACUCUAAGCGUAUUUUCUGGAUAAUUAGAAAAUGUUCCACUGCUUCAAAGACCUCCUAUAUAAUACACAGUUAAGUGAUUAUCUUGGAGCUUAUUUUGGAGUAUUAUUACCUUUGAGAAAGCAUUGUUAUUGGGCACUUUUUUCUAGCAGACAUUAAUGCGUAUAAUUAAAAACAUACAAUUUACAAUUCAACCUCUCUGCAGGACAUCUAUGAAACCAUUUAUGGGUUGUUUUUCCUUGUCCUUCUAGGUGUUGCUAACUGUGUGUUCAUAGUAAUGAGAAGAAAGUUAUUUUUAGGUUGGCAUAAGUGUUUUGGUUGCUCUAAACUAAAAAGCCUUAUUUAGAAUUUGUAUACACUACUACGGUACAUUGUGUUUUAUACAAAGCUAAUUGCUUUCCUAAGUUUUGCCAUUAUCCAUUUUUUUUUCUAAUAAGCCUUUUCCCACUAAAGAAAUGAAAAUGGAGUAGAUUUAUAUUGCUGGUUGGAAAAAAAACAAAAUGUUCAAAGAAAAGCAAUGUAUUAAAAACAUUUUCCCACCACGACCACCCCAGUUCAAAGGGAUUUUGCAUCUUCAUCUAUUUUGGAAAUAAGAGAGAAAAUACAUGUGUUCUAUAUAUGCUCAUAUAAUCAAUGAGAUGACCCAAAUGAUCAUUAUCUGCCUGCAUAUUUGCAAAGACAGUGGAUGAGAGAAAUUUUAGCGUAACUCUUCUGCUCAUAAGUAUUCCAAUAUUCAAAAUAAUUGUUAGGUAUUCUUAUUAAGCACUUACCUAUGCCCUCAUCUCUGUUGGUUGCUGAACAAAGCAACAUUAACGCCCCAUGAACAUUGUACUUAGCAGCUUACUAUCUAAAAUAGUAAAAUGAGAAGCCAUUGGUUCAAUAGUUGCUUGAAGUCUUGCCAUCAAGUUUCAAGCCCAAUUUAUCCUGACAAAUGAAUAAUAAAUUGAUUAUAAAACCCAAACCACUGUCCCCAGGCCAUUGAACAUUUAAUAGUAUAUGGAGAUGUGGCUCUAAAUAG
Molecule: long non-coding RNA, 1987 nt
Filed under: Homo sapiens (human)
Lineage: Eukaryota; Metazoa; Chordata; Mammalia; Primates; Hominidae
Description: HSALNT0041099
Source: RNAcentral